This 518-nucleotide ribosomal RNA is filed under the name Acidobacteriota bacterium. RNAcentral describes it as "Acidobacteria bacterium partial 23S ribosomal RNA". It matches the Rfam family "Bacterial large subunit ribosomal RNA", at positions 2412 to 2925 of the family's 2925-position model. Lineage: Bacteria; Pseudomonadati; Acidobacteriota. The record is from RNAcentral.
UUAGUGAUCCGGCGGUUCCGAAUGGAAGGGCCGUCGCUCAACGGAUAAAAGGUACUCCGGGGAUAACAGGCUUAUCUAGCCCAAGAGUUCAUAUCGACGGCUAGGUUUGGCACCUCGAUGUCGGCUCAUCGCAUCCUGGAGCUGAAACAGGUUCCAAGGGUUGGGCUGUUCGCCCAUUAAAGCGGUACGCGAGCUGGGUUCAGAACGUCGUGAGACAGUUCGGUCCUCAUCUGUCGUGGGCGCAGGAGAUUUGAGGGGAGCUGGCCCUAGUACGAGAGGACCGGGCUGGACGAACCUCUGAUGUACGAGUUGUUCCGCCUCGGGGCAUUGCUCGGUAGUCACGUUCGGACGGGAUAAGCGCUGAAAGCAUCUAAGCGCGAAGCCCCACCCAAGAUGAGAUCUCCCGGAUCAUCAGAUCCCUGAAGGCCCCUGGAAGACCACCAGGUUGAUAGGCCCGGAGUGUAAGGCGAGUAAUCGUCUCAGCUGACGGGUACUAAUCGGCCGUGAGGCUUGACCAC